This is a long non-coding RNA of Homo sapiens (human), 320 nucleotides long. Ensembl annotates it as SLC12A2 divergent transcript. Its record names the gene SLC12A2-DT. The record is from Ensembl. NCBI's taxonomy places the organism in Eukaryota, Metazoa, Chordata, Mammalia, Primates, Hominidae.
CAUAGUCAAUCACCAGUAUAAUUAAUAAUCCAAGACAAGAAGAAUCUUUCAAGUGUUGCUAACCAGAACUGAGCAGAUCCAAGUAGCAAUCGUAGCCAAGCCAUUAGUCCAUGUAUGGAGAGACCAGAGAGGGCAUCCCCACGUGGUGAUGCCUCAAGCUUCAGGAGCACUCGACCAGAGUCAGUGUAGCCCUUGGCAGCUGGUGAAGCACAACCUGGGACAAAUGGAAGCUUUAGCAAUGAGCCGAUAGGUCAAGGCUAACCAGAAAGAAUGCAGCUGGGUAAUGCAAGCUAUCCUAUCUUGUAAUUAAAAGGGUUUUC